RNAcentral lists this ribosomal RNA (411 nucleotides) under uncultured bacterium. Its description in RNAcentral is "bacterial SSU rRNA". It matches the Rfam family "Bacterial small subunit ribosomal RNA", at positions 29 to 489 of the family's 1533-position model. The record is from RNAcentral.
AGCGAACGCUGGCGGCAGGCCUAAUACAUGCAAGUCGAGCGCCCUUUCGGGGGAGCGGCGGACGGGUGAGUAACGCGUGGGAACGUGCCCUUUGGUUCGGAACAACACAGGGAAACUUGUGCUAAUACCGAAUGUGCCCUUCGGGGAAAGAUUUAUCGCCAUUGGAGCGGCCCGCGUUGGAUUAGGUAGUUGGUGGGGUAAUGGCCUACCAAGCCUACGAUCCAUAGCUGGUCUGAGAGGAUGAUCAGCCACACUGGGACUGAGACACGGCCCAGACUCCUACGGGAGGCAGCAGUAGGGAAUCUUGCGCAAUGGGCGAAAGCCUGACGCAGCCAUGCCGCGUGAAUGAUGAAGGUCUUAGGAUUAGUAAAUUCUUUCACCGGGAAGAUAAUGACGGUACCCGGAGAAGAA